Molecule: long non-coding RNA, 596 nt
Filed under: Lactuca sativa (garden lettuce)
Lineage: Eukaryota; Viridiplantae; Streptophyta; Magnoliopsida; Asterales; Asteraceae
Description: long non-coding RNA (LSAT_LNC007691)
Source: RNAcentral
AUAAUUGCAACACGAACAACCCCAUCACCACCCUCACCGGCGGCGACUCUUUCUUUACCUUGAAUCGUCCAGGACCUUUUUACUUCAUCAGUGGUAAUAGAUCUCACUGUAACGAAGGUCAGAAGCUAGAGGUGGUUGUUAUAUCGCCUAAAACGAAGCCGUCACAUUCCGCCGCUCCACCUCCGGGAGUUUCACUUGCUCCAAUGGUCUCCCCAGGCUCCCCUGUUUCAUCACCACCAGAAUCUGGAACAUCUGGACCGACUGCUCCGAUGGGUUCCCCUAUGUCUUAUUCUUCACCACCAGAACCUGGAACUUCUCCGAUGGCCUCCCCUUUUUCGUCACCACCAGAAUAUGGAGCUACUCCGAUGGUUGCCCCCACUGGAGGUAUCUCAGCUUCUCCAACAGGUAAUCCGUCUGACGUGAACGGACAAUCACCGAAUGGAUCACCGGAAGGGUCGCCGUCGUCUUCGUCGGCAAGACUACCAGUUUCAACAACCUUGACUGUCUCAUUUGUCCUUAUGAUAGUUGGGUUGGUGUGGUUUUAUUAGAGUGUUUAUUUUCUUAGAGUGGUAAUCUAUUACAAUUUUUUUUUCUUG